CCUAAAUCCUAAUUUCUAUUUCUCAUUUUCUCUUCACGCCGCCUGCCUUCACUGAAGUUCAUUGAAGUCUCUUCACGCCCCUGACUCGCCACCACUGCCUACCAGAUUUGGUGAUUUUUGAAGCAGAAUGAGCAAAUCACGGUUAGUUAUAGAUAAUUGAGAGCAAGUUAUAGAUGAUUAAGAGCAAAGUUGCAGAAAGCCAGAAACCGAACCACGCUUGGAUAUGUUUAAUAUGUUUAUGGACUUUUGGUUAUGAACUUUUUUAAUAUGUUUAUAAACUUUUGGGUUUGAACUUUUUUAAUAUGUAAUAUGUUUAUAAACUUUUGGGUUUUUAUUAUGUAAUUAUGUAUGGAUGUGGAGUUUUCAAGUUCAAA
Long non-coding RNA from Alnus glutinosa, 374 nucleotides. RefSeq lists it as uncharacterized. Lineage: Eukaryota; Viridiplantae; Streptophyta; Magnoliopsida; Fagales; Betulaceae. The transcript is spliced from 3 exons. The record is from RefSeq and is a predicted model, not a curated record.